RNAcentral lists this transfer RNA (74 nucleotides) under Aphyosemion coeleste (sky-blue killifish). Its description in RNAcentral is "tRNA-Leu". It matches the Rfam family "tRNA". Rfam says of the family: Transfer RNA (tRNA) molecules are approximately 80 nucleotides in length. Their secondary structure includes four short double-helical elements and three loops (D, anti-codon, and T loops). The record is from RNAcentral. Lineage: Eukaryota; Metazoa; Chordata; Actinopteri; Cyprinodontiformes; Nothobranchiidae.
AUUAAGGUGGCAGAAUUCGGUCAAUGCAAAAGGUCUAAGCCCUUUAUAUAGAGGUUCAAUUCCUCUUCUUGAUU